AGGACGAACGCUGGCGGCGUGCUUAACACAUGCAAGUCGAGCGGAAAGGCCCUUCGGGGUACUCGAGCGGCGAACGGGUGAGUAACACGUGAGCAACCUGCCCUUAGCUCUGGGAUAGCUCCGGGAAACCGGAAUUAAUACCGGAUAUUACACCGGCUGGCAUCGGCUGGUGUGGAAAGAUUUAUCGGCUAAGGAUGGACUUGCGGCCUAUCAGCUUGUUGGUGGGGUAGAAGCCUACCAAGGCGACGACGGGUA
RNAcentral lists this ribosomal RNA (255 nucleotides) under uncultured bacterium. RNAcentral's name for it is "partial small subunit ribosomal RNA". It matches the Rfam family "Bacterial small subunit ribosomal RNA", at positions 26 to 285 of the family's 1533-position model. The record is from RNAcentral.